CCUACGGGUGGCAGCAGUGAGGAAUAUUGGUCAAUGGGCGCGAGCCUGAACCAGCCAAGUCGCGUGAAGGAUGACUGCCCUACGGGUUGUAAACUUCUUUUAUAAAGGAAUAAAGUGAGGCACGUGUGCCUUUUUGUAUGUACUUUAUGAAUAAGGAUCGGCUAACUCCGUGCCAGCAGCAGCGGUAAUACGGAGGAUUCGAGCGUUAUCCGGAUUUAUUGGGUUUAAAGGGAGCGUAGAUGGGUUGUUAAGUCAGCUGUGAAAGGUUGCGGCUCAACCUUAAAAUUGCAUUUGAUACUGGCAGCCUUGAGUACAGUUGAGGUAGGCGGAAUUCGUGGUGUAGCGGUGAAAUGCUUAGAUAUCACGAAGAACUCCGAUUGCAAAGGCAGCCUACUAAACUGCCACUGACAUUGAUGCUCGAAAGUGUGGGGAGCAAACAGGAUUAGAUACCCUGGUAGUC
RNAcentral lists this ribosomal RNA (460 nucleotides) under uncultured bacterium. Its description in RNAcentral is "partial 16S ribosomal RNA". It matches the Rfam family "Bacterial small subunit ribosomal RNA", at positions 338 to 795 of the family's 1533-position model. The record is from RNAcentral.